AGCAUAUCAAUAAGCGGAGGAAAAGAAACCAACAGGGAUUGCCUUAGUAACUGCGAGUGAAGCGGCAAAAGCUCAAAUUUGAAAUCUGGCGUCUYUGGCGUCCGAAUUGUAAUUUGGAGGGAUAUCUUCGGGGUUGGCGCCGUCCUAAGUUCCUUGGAACAGGACGUCAUAGAGGGUGAGAAUCCCGUGCCUGGGCGGCUGUCCGGCCCCAUGUGAAGUGUCUCCGACGAGUCGAGUUGUUUGGGAAUGCAGCUCAAAAUGGGUGGUAAAUUUCAUCUAAAGCUAAAUAUUGGCGAGAGACCGAUAGCGCACAAGUAGAGUGAUCGAAAGAUGAAAAGCACUUUGAAAAGAGAGUUAAAAAGUACGUGAAAUUGUUGAAAGGGAAGCGCUUGCGACCAGACUCGAUCUUUGGUGAUCAGCCGGGCUUCGGCUCGGUGCCCUCACCUUUGAUUGGGCCAGCAUCGGUUCCGGCGGUGGGAUAAAAGGAGGAGGAAUGUGGCUCCCUUCGGGGAGUGUUAUAGCCUCCCUCACAAUGCUGCCAGUCGGGACCGAGGACCGCGCUUCGGCUAGGAUGCUGGCGUAAUGGUCUUAAGCGACCCGUCUUGAAACACGGACCAAGGAGUCUAACAUCUAUGCGAGUGUUCGGGUGGAAAACCCUUGCGCGUAAUGAAAGUGAACGGAGGUGUGAACCCUUUACGGGGUGCAACAUCGACCGGUCCUGAUGUCUUCGGAAGGAUCUGAGUAAGAGCAUAGCUGUUGGGACCCGAAAGAUGGUGAACUAUGCCUGAAUAGGGUGAAGCCAGAGGAAACUCUGGUGGAGGCUCGCAGCGGUUCUGACGUGCAAAUCGAUCGUCAAAUUUGGGUAUAGGGGCGAAAGACU
This 880-nucleotide ribosomal RNA is filed under the name Paratricharina poiraultii. RNAcentral describes it as "partial large subunit ribosomal RNA". Lineage: Eukaryota; Fungi; Ascomycota; Pezizomycetes; Pezizales; Pyronemataceae. The record is from RNAcentral.